UGAAAAGUACACAGCCUGAUAGCUAUGCUGCUCUAUCGGUCAAUCAAAGAUGUGGAGCUGAACCCCUGAAUAUUAAAGUAGAUUUGCUUUUUCAGCACACUGCAGGUAAAGUGGAUUGGCAUGAAGACUGUGGAUUUGGGCAGUCCAGUCAAGGCAGACAAUCACAAAGGGGAAGCAGAGGCCAUGUGAAGUUGCAGGGUCAAACAGUCUCAGGAUAUGGUCUGCAUGUUAGCACUGAGUCAUCCCCGGGGAUCCAGAAGAAUUCAUUUGGAGAAGAAAGCAGAAGAAGCUGCCCUGAGCCACCGCAAGUGAUCAAUCACAAUUACACUAGCAAGGAUGAACACUUAAGAGCCUGGUGCAAACCCCUGUGCUGCUGAAUGCUUCGACGAUGGUAUGCAAGAAAACAGGAAGUUUCAGGAGUCAGUCCUCCUGAGAUGGAGCCCCCAGCACAAGAAAUAAGUGGUCCUGUUGGAGAGAGUCUGGAGGAGGCCAUGAGGAUGCUCAGAAAGCUUAAGCACCUCUUCUUUGAAGGCUGAGGGAGCUGGACUUGUUCAGGUUGGGGAAGAGAAGUCUCUGUGGACACCUCAUUGUGGCCUUUCAGUGCUGAAAGAGAGCUUACAAGAAAGAUGGAGAGC
Molecule: long non-coding RNA, 635 nt
Filed under: Gallus gallus (chicken)
Lineage: Eukaryota; Metazoa; Chordata; Aves; Galliformes; Phasianidae
Source: RNAcentral